This 498-nucleotide ribosomal RNA is filed under the name uncultured bacterium. RNAcentral's name for it is "partial 16S ribosomal RNA". It matches the Rfam family "Bacterial small subunit ribosomal RNA", at positions 29 to 523 of the family's 1533-position model. The record is from RNAcentral.
AUUGAACGCUGGCGGCAUGCCUAACACAUGCAAGUCGCACGCGAAAGAGGGGCAACCCUUGAGUAGAGUGGCGGACGGGUGAGUAACGCGUAGGAAUAUACCUGGUAGUGGGGGACAACACGGUGAAAACCGGGCUGAUACCGCAUACGAUCCACGGAUGAAAGCAGGGGACCGCAAGGCCUUGCGCUAUCAGAUUAGUCUGCGUCGGAUUAGCUAGCUGGUGAGGUAAUGGCUCACCAAGGCAACGAUCCGUAGCUGGUUUGAGAGAACGACCAGCCACACUGGGACUGAGACACGGCCCAGACUCCUACGGGAGGCAGCAGUGGGGAAUAUUGGACAAUGGGGGCAACCCUGAUCCAGCAAUGCCGCGUGUGUGAAGAAGGCCUUCGGGUUGUAAAGCACUUUCGGUGGGGACAAACGUGGCGAGGCUAACAUCCUCGUCCUUGAUGGUACCCAAAGAAGAAGCACCGGCUAACUCUGUGCCAGCAGCCGCGGUAA